UUCAACUGCACUUUUCAGCCAUUUCUAUUGGCUAAGCUGCUAGUCGAUCGUCUCGAUAUUUCGAUAUUUCGAGAAUCGCAAUCACGUUGGUAGAAACUUUAAAUGCGCCAUGGCGUUUGUGGGAUCGUGUCUGAAUCUGCCCCGUGUUUCGCGUGAUUUUUAUCGUACAAAAUUACUUUUGCUCGUUAGAUUACGGCCGCAAUUUCUCCGCCAGAAUGCAUCGGGAUUGCACCUGGUGCGCGAUCAUUGCCAAGCAGAUACAUGUUUUAUUACAUUGUUUAUUAUAUUGUUUUACAAUCAGUGGCGUAAAAUAUCUCAAUAAAUAUUAGGUUGUUCAUUAA
Long non-coding RNA from Ooceraea biroi (clonal raider ant), 341 nucleotides. RefSeq lists it as uncharacterized. The record is from RefSeq and is a predicted model, not a curated record. Lineage: Eukaryota; Metazoa; Arthropoda; Insecta; Hymenoptera; Formicidae.